RNAcentral lists this ribosomal RNA (486 nucleotides) under uncultured bacterium. Its description in RNAcentral is "partial 16S ribosomal RNA". It matches the Rfam family "Bacterial small subunit ribosomal RNA", at positions 30 to 507 of the family's 1533-position model. The record is from RNAcentral.
AUUGAACGCUGGCGGCAUGCCUUACACAUGCAAGUCGAACGGCAGCACGGGUGCUUGCACCUGGUGGCGAGUGGCGAACGGGUGAGUAAUACAUCGGAACAUGUCCUGUAGUGGGGGAUAGCCCGGCGAAAGCCGGAUUAAUACCGCAUACGAUCCACGGAUGAAAGCGGGGGACCUUCGGGCCUCGCGCUAUAGGGUUGGCCGAUGGCUGAUUAGCUAGUUGGUGGGGUAAAGGCCUACCAAGGCGACGAUCAGUAGCUGGUCUGAGAGGACGACCAGCCACACUGGGACUGAGACACGGCCCAGACUCCUACGGGAGGCAGCAGUGGGGAAUUUUGGACAAUGGGCGAAGGCCUGAUCCAGCAAUGCCGCGUGUGUGAAGAAGGCCUUCGGGUUGUAAAGCACUUUUGUCCGGAAAGAAAUCCUUGGCUCUAAUACAGUCGGGGGAUGACGGUACCGGAAGAAUAAGCACCGGCUAACUACGUG